CCCCCCGAGCUCACGGUGACACUGGUGACGUCCUCGGGGAUACCCGGCAGGUGUCAACCAGGCUGGGAGGGGACACGGUGGUCUACACGGUCCUCAGGAGGAGCGACGGCACCGCCCAGGCCCCCGAGGGUCCCGACUAUGAGAACGUCCCCCCAGGCCCCUCCAGGGACAGGGACGGGGAAGGGACACUGGAGGCGACACUGGAGGGGACACUGGAGGGGACACUGGAGG
Molecule: long non-coding RNA, 231 nt
Organism: Myiozetetes cayanensis
Lineage: Eukaryota; Metazoa; Chordata; Aves; Passeriformes; Tyrannidae
Exons: 3
Source: RefSeq, a predicted model, not a curated record